AGCGAUCGCUCGCUGCUCCAUCCCUCACCCCCGCCGCUCGAGCGAGAACCACCGAGGCUCCCCUCGACUCCCCUCGAUCUGUUUGCCCCAGCCGCCAUAGCAGAGCACUUCGCCGACGCCGAGAUGCAAGGGGAGCCGCCGCCACCGAGGUCCAAGAGGAGCCGCCGCGAUCCUCCUCUGCACGCAUCGCCGCCUGCGACGCUGCAUAACCACGGUCUCCACCGGCGCCGCGAUGGCUGCGCCCUCCACCCAGAUCCGUCCGCCAUUGGCCCUUUAUUGUCCCUCCCGAUGGGAUCCAGCCUCCACCACUGCGCACGGUGCGACGGGAUCCACCACGGACGAGGGAAAGGCCGCGCGCGGGCGUCGUGAUGUGGUCAUCACGUGGCGCGGCACGAUCCAGGCUCUGGAAUGGGUCGACGAUCUUGAGUUCGACAUAGUGCCGCCCAAAGGCCCCCUUUGUGAGGCCGCCUGCGCAGAUGCUUGGUGCACCGCGGCUGGAUCUCCAUCCCCACCAACAACAGGGACAACGCCAGAGACCAGGUAAUCUUGUGAAUACGAUGGCACUGUCAUGUACAUGGUGCACGGUUCAGUGUUGAGCUCACUUGCAGGUUGCAGCUGCAUGCUCAUGCAACCAUGGAUGUCAGGCACGGGAUGUGCUGGACAUUGUUCAGUGUCAGGAGGUGAGCAUCACCAUGACGAGGCACAGCCUUGGGGCAGCACUGAACGCAUUCGACAUCACUGAGAAUGGCUACAGCUGCACGGCCGCCGCAGCGUGUUCACUUUCGCCCUGCGCGACGGCAGCACCGGCUUCAAGAAGCGGUUUAACGCUGCCACGGCCACCGGCCUCUGUGUUCUGUCGCGUCCGCAAUGCUCGAGACAUUGUCCACAACGUUGAUGAAGGUGAAGGAGAUGGAAAUUUCAGAUAGGACAACAUAAAAAAUAUUCAGGCAUGUCUUUACCACUACAAAAUAUUCAGUCACUGCCCUUGUGCCAAUUCUUUUCUGCUUUAUCCAUGAAUCAGUCUGUCUUCCCCAAAAUUCAUGCAUCUGAAGUUUUGAACUAAAGCUUAGUUGAUGUAGGGAAGUGAAUUGUAGACGUAUUUUUUAAUUUAUAUUUAGUACUAGAAUUCUGUUUUCAAUUCAGUUUCACAUCAUCGUGUCACUAGAAAUUUCAACAUGGUAUGCUUGUUCGUUUAGACUAGACAACUUUAUGAAAAUGCGGCAUCGGCAUCAGUAUGCUGCCAUUGAUCUUAUUGCCAAGCUCUUUUGUACAUCAUCUGACACAACAUCAUAUAGUCAAUAUGAUUCCCUAUGCACACUGCCCAUUAACUGAAUUACUAGAAUGUUCAUUGUUUUCUUCCAUGUGUAUCCCUUGGGGUGUGGUUCUUAUGAGCACUUAUUUGGAGGUUUAUGGAGUCCUCCUAGAGUUUGAGAAAUUUUAAUGAGAAUUGGUUUGACAGAAACGGGAGGAGGGGCCAUUACGACAAUUUUUACGUAGAAGCGAUCUCGGGCAGACUGGAACCUAUGGACCAAAACUGGGGCAAGAGUUCAGUAGCUUUGUUGUUGUUGUUCUGGAACUCUUUAUGUCGUGAAAUAGCUAGGAAAAUUGCAUUGGUGCACUUUGUAUAAUGUGGGGUCCUCAGACCGAGACAAUAUUGUAAAAAAACGCGCCUUAAGGUUUGCAUCGUUUGUAUUAAGGUUGUUCCUUAUUUCUAAUGAACAUGCUUUAGAGGUGUUUUUAUAGAUGUGCUCCUGCUUCUAUCUACUGAUCAAAUGACUUUCUAUUUCGUUGUUUUCUGCCAAUAUAUUAUUCAGUAGUUACUGAUAAGAAUAAGAUAAGCCAGCCGUGAGUGUGAAGUAGCAAGAUAGUUUGAAAAUUCAGAAUCUUCAUUGCAAGUACACGAACUGGUGUUUUUUGCCCACACAUUGCUCAAUGAUAAUUUAUACCAUGUCUUUAAUUUACUAGAUUAACUGCACACCUGAACGCAGCACUAAUGAAAAGAUUCAGCAUCUUGGUCGGCUGCUCACGGCGGGGCUUGUGGUUGGUGGUUGCGGCAGUGGCAGAGCAGUGUCCGAGAGCGCGGCGCAAGCAGUGGCCCCUGCUAUGUGGGCUGAUGGGAGCACACCGUCCAAGCAGCACUUCAAGUCUGACAAUGUCCCCUCUACACCAAGGUAGGUGGGCACUCGUGCAAAGAUCUAACAUCUUCACCGACUAGGACUAAGGUAUAUGUUUUCUUCUGCCCGUGUGAUGUGGUGAUAAUUUGUUAUGCAUAUGUUUGUAGAUGUUAGUCAGUAUUUGGGAGAUAUGAGGUAGUUUGCUAGAUAAGAAUAGAACAAGAACAAGAAGGAGCUUUAGUUGGGCCAUGUCAUUGUGAACUUGGAGCACAGAAAUUUAUAGGAGGUUGUUGUCGUAAAACUAGGUGCUUAAGAUCUGCGGAACUAUAACAUUUUUUGAGUCUAAGUAAAACAAAUUUACUUUCUGGGUCUAACUAUGUUAAUAAUUUCUUGCGUGAAUAGAUGGGCCAAGCCGAGCAGGCCAUCACCAACCUAUUCGUGCUUUGGUUUAUUUUAUUUGAGUAUUUGUGUUCUUAAUCUUUGUUUUCACUGGUGUGUGCUCUGUCCUCUCAGGCUAGGUUUGAAUUUGUUGUCAUAGAAAAAAUAUUUUUAUCGCCUUUAAUACUAGAGGUGAUCCAGUUAUGUAUGCAAGACUAUGCAAGAUCCUACAAAAAAGUUGAACCGAAAAGUCUUAUUUUUUACUUAAUUAAGUUUCCUUAGUUAUGUGUCAAAAUGUUGGGAGAAUAAAGUUCAUGCUCUGUUCGCACACGGCGGAGACAACCAUGGCAAAGUCACCGAGGGGCAUCCGGAUAAAGUGAGACACUGCGUUGUAUAUAUAUGGCCAGAAUAUAUAACCAGGUCCUGUAUAAAAUGCACGAUGGGUAUUCUAUAUUUCACAUUCAUAAAUCUUCCAUGUAAAUUGUUCAUGCUAAUUAUAUGUAUUACUUGCAAACGAAGUGAAAGACAACAUUCCUGACAUUGUACAAGAAUAUCUCAAGCGGCGUUGUACAUGAAUAUCUCGAGUACAUUAAAUAGAUCUUAGUUGGAAUAGAUACUUAUCAUUGCUCUCUUUGUAUACAUUGUUGAAUUACAUGUGAAAUUUGAGUAACGGGACACAUAUUUAUUAUUUGGAUGCGGUUUUUCACUUUCCUGAGUUGUAUACAUUAUAUUUAUUUGUUCAAUCAACAAAGAAAAAAAGCCCGUGGCAACGCACAGGUGUUCUACUAGACAAGACAAAAUUUAAUGUGCGCAUGUACAUUAUUAUUCUUCUUACCAUCCAAUUUUUAGGAAGGAAUGAGCCCGGAGCUCGACACCCCAUCCAAUGGGCUUAAGUCUUAAGAAACUUCAGUGCAUACUUAACAUGGAGCAGCCUAUGGACAAUGAUUGCUUCAACACCGUUGUGCGUAUACUGGCAUGUGACGAGGGAGUAUUGUUCAUAGACCCUCCUAUAUAAACUACAUGGAUCUAAGAUUUUGUUCCAAGAUGCUAGAGUCAACACGAGUCAGAAGUUUUGCGAGAAGGAAACUAUCCAGACGUUGGCGACAUCAUUUGAUAGCUGGCCUGGGAUGGACAACGACAUCUCAUCGUGCAACAUGGAUGGGUAUGAGUUGAGGAAACGGUUUUUAUUAUACUUGCUAAAACAUCAUGGGAAUGAAGCUAAAGACAACUUUCUUGAUAUUGUGAAAGAAUUUCUUAAAUGCAUCAUCUAGAUAUGGAUAGUUUUGUAAUAAAUGUUUAGUUGAAACAUCACUUAGUUUGUUACAUGGACAUUUCGUUAAUCUUUCUUUUUGUUAUUAAUUUACAUUGCAAAAAUGGGCUUCAAUUAUUUAAUAAUUGUGUUUGUGUUA
Aegilops tauschii subsp. strangulata is the source of this 3901-nucleotide long non-coding RNA. RefSeq lists it as uncharacterized. The record is from RefSeq and is a predicted model, not a curated record. NCBI's taxonomy places the organism in Eukaryota, Viridiplantae, Streptophyta, Magnoliopsida, Poales, Poaceae.